AUCACAUAUGAUAUAGAAUAGACAUCCAAAUUAAGCAAGGAAUCCCUGAAUCAUGCACAAUCAAUAGCAUUACUCAUACUUACUGAAACUUACAAAGUAGUCUUUUUGAAGAUCCAAGAAAUUACAGGACUU
Molecule: unclassified non-coding RNA, 132 nt
Filed under: Scrophularia wattii
Lineage: Eukaryota; Viridiplantae; Streptophyta; Magnoliopsida; Lamiales; Scrophulariaceae
Description: partial trnL-trnF intergenic spacer
Source: RNAcentral